This 1008-nucleotide ribosomal RNA is filed under the name human gut metagenome. RNAcentral describes it as "bacterial LSU rRNA". It matches the Rfam family "Bacterial large subunit ribosomal RNA", at positions 1923 to 2925 of the family's 2925-position model. The record is from RNAcentral.
GUAAACGGCGGCCGUAACUAUAACGGUCCUAAGGUAGCGAAAUUCCUUGUCGGGUAAGUUCCGACCUGCACGAAUGGCGUAAUGAUGGCCAGGCUGUCUCCACCCGAGACUCAGUGAAAUUGAACUCGCUGUGAAGAUGCAGUGUACCCGCGGCAAGACGGAAAGACCCCGUGAACCUUUACUAUAGCUUGACACUGAACAUUGAGCCUUGAUGUGUAGGAUAGGUGGGAGGCUUUGAAGUGUGGACGCCAGUCUGCAUGGAGCCGGCCUUGAAAUACCACCCUUUAAUGUUUGAUGUUCUAACGUUGGCCCGUAAUCCGGGUUGCGGACAGUGUCUGGUGGGUAGUUUGACUGGGGCGGUCUCCUCCUAAAGAGUAACGGAGGAGCACGAAGGUUGGCUAAUCCUGGUCGGACAUCAGGAGGUUAGUGCAAUGGCAUAAGCCAGCUUGACUGCGAGCGUGACGGCGCGAGCAGGUGCGAAAGCAGGUCAUAGUGAUCCGGUGGUUCUGAAUGGAAGGGCCAUCGCUCAACGGAUAAAAGGUACUCCGGGGAUAACAGGCUGAUACCGCCCAAGAGUUCAUAUCGACGGCGGUGUUUGGCACCUCGAUGUCGGCUCAUCACAUCCUGGGGCUGAAGUAGGUCCCAAGGGUAUGGCUGUUCGCCAUUUAAAGUGGUACGCGAGCUGGGUUUAGAACGUCGUGAGACAGUUCGGUCCCUAUCUGCCGUGGGCGCUGGAGAACUGAGGGGGGCUGCUCCUAGUACGAGAGGACCGGAGUGGACGCAUCACUGGUGUUCGGGUUGUCAUGCCAAUGGCACUGCCCGGUAGCUAAAUGCGGAAGAGAUAAGUGCUGAAAGCAUCUAAGCACGAAACUUGCCCCGAGAUGAGUUCUCCCUGAGACUUAGAGUCUCCUGAAGGAACGUUGAAGACGACGACGUUGAUAGGCCGGGUGUGUAAGCGCAGCGAUGCGUUGAGCUAACCGGUACUAAUGAACCGUGAGGCUUAACCUU